GUAACGCAGCUUUCUACCGCCAGACGACAGAUGCAAGCUGCCUUCAAGAGUGAUCCCUUUGGUUGAGGUCAAUUCCCAGAGGGUCUCAGCUCUCUCUGUUGCAUCAACAUCUGGAAGACCGAGUAUCAUUUUAGCCAUAGUAAAUAGCUUAAAGGAAGAAUACAUCUUAUAUUUCCCCACAAAGAGGCAAAAUGGUGUGUGGGCUGCACCAGCAAAGGAACUGGAAAAUCUCUGUAUGGAGUGGAUUUGAACGACAAUCACUCUUCGUGUGUGAAUCACUUUUCUCUUCUUCUUCCAAGCAUCUGUGAAGCAAUGAAAUAAUAUGUAUGAAGACUCAAGAUUCCCUUCCAGAUCAAUCUGAGUAUAUUUGUUUUACAUCAAUGGUCAUAAAGAAACAGGUUAAAGUGUCUAAUGGGCAUGAAAUUGCUUCCAUAUAAUUUUUAAAUCCUAUUUUUUCCCAGUGUAUUAAGCAGCUUGACAGCUACCAAUCUGCUUAUUUCCAUAUUUGGAAUAAUUUCUGUUGUGACUAUAUGUUUCUGUAUUUUCUGGAGUAAGGAUAUCUGACAAAGAAAGGAAAAAAAGAAAAAGAAAAAACAAUCAACUUUGUUAUCUGAUUGGUGCAAGAAAUUAGAACCUUGUGGUCAUCUGGAGUUUUCUGUGUGGGCUUAACUGGACCUUUGGUGCCCAGAGCACACUUCAGGACUAAUGCUAUUUUGGAAUAUCACUGGAGUUGGAAGCAGGAAUCCUGACUAUACAAUCAAGCACGGCUCAUUCAAUCCCGGUGGCCACACAUGGCACCCUUUUACAAGGUUCAUCAACUAAUAGUUUCCAUGAAGAUGACAAAUGGGUGUGGCAAUGAUUGGACCCACACCCAGAGAAUUAGAACA
Suricata suricatta (meerkat) is the source of this 887-nucleotide long non-coding RNA. RefSeq lists it as uncharacterized. NCBI's taxonomy places the organism in Eukaryota, Metazoa, Chordata, Mammalia, Carnivora, Herpestidae. The transcript is spliced from 4 exons. The record is from RefSeq and is a predicted model, not a curated record.